AGAGACCCCCCAGAUACGUUCUCCUCUAAGCACUAUCUCUAAACUCUGCUAAAAUUUCAUUCGAGUGCUUCAUUUCUGUUGAAGCAGAAUACUGACUUGAGCGUUGGAGGGUCUUGCCGGAGCACCCUCAACUCCGAUUUAGACUUUUCUUGCAGGUCUCGACGGCAGUCGUGAUCCCCUCGACUCCAGCUUCUCCAGCAUCGACGG
This 207-nucleotide long non-coding RNA is filed under the name Elaeis guineensis (African oil palm). RNAcentral's name for it is "long non-coding RNA (EGUI_LNC027196)". The record is from RNAcentral. Lineage: Eukaryota; Viridiplantae; Streptophyta; Magnoliopsida; Arecales; Arecaceae.